RNAcentral lists this ribosomal RNA (433 nucleotides) under uncultured bacterium. Its description in RNAcentral is "partial 16S ribosomal RNA". It matches the Rfam family "Bacterial small subunit ribosomal RNA", at positions 29 to 507 of the family's 1533-position model. The record is from RNAcentral.
AACGAACGCUGGCGGCAUGCCUAACACAUGCAAGUCGAACGAGACCUUCGGGUCUAGUGGCGCACGGGUGCGUAACGCGUGGGAACCUGCCCUUAGGUUCGGAAUAACUCCCCGAAAGGGGUGCUAAUACCGGAUAAUGUCUUCGGACCAAAGAUUUAUCGCCUUUGGAUGGGCCCGCGUUGGCUUAGCUAGUUGGUAGGGUAAAAGCCUACCAAGGCGACGAUCCAUAGCUGGUCUGAGAGGAUGAUCAGCCACACUGGGACUGAGACACGGCCCAGACUCCUACGGGAGGCAGCAGUGGGGAAUAUUGGACAAUGGGCGAAGGCCUGAUCCAGCAAUGCCGCGUGAGUGAUGAAGGCCUUAGGGUUGUAAAGCUCUUUUACCCGGGAUGAUAAUGACAGUACCGGGAGAAUAAGCACCGGCUAACUCCGUG